GCGAAGUAGAAGAAUGUUGUUGCCUACUGAAUUUUUUUUUUUUUAGACUUCUAAAGACUUUACCGAGUCAUUUCAGCUUCGCCAAAGGCUCGUGGAAGAAAGGGCUGAGGAUACUCAAUUGGAGAUGGAGAAAUUGUUAGCUUAUGUAAAAUUACAAGAAGAUGAGGUUAAUACACAGAAGAAUUUAGUUCUUGAGGAACAACAGAUGUUUCAGAAACUUGAAGAGGAAUUUAAAGAAGAAACAAAAAAACUAAAAGAAAAGGAGGCUCUGGAGAAAUUUCCAGAGCUGGAAAAAAGAUCUGAAUAUUUCAUAAAAAUCUCUCUUCAGAUCAAGAAUCAGUUUGAUAGCAAGAAAGCUGUAAUAGCCCAGUGGCUUCCUGACAUUUCUCCCCAGGAAGCCAAUAACAUCAAAAGGCUUCAAACAGAAGAUGAGCGUAUAAGUAACAGCCUCUACAACUCGUUGAACAAACUUCAGUACUUGUUUAGCUGCUUGUGCGACAAAAGAAAGGAAUACUACACAAACGUCAGCAAGUACACAAGGGAGCUGCUUGAUGAGCGAAAAAAUCAACAUGCACAGCGAAUGCAAAUUCAGGAACUCGGAAAGCCUCACUUGAAACAGCAGGGACCUGGAUCGCAGCAGCCUGGUCUCUCUGAACUGAUGCAGAGCUUGGAUGGUCUCACUGAGGUAAUGGUUUUCCAAAGAUUGCCUGCUUGGGACUGGAGUUGGGGAAAGCAA
RNAcentral lists this long non-coding RNA (736 nucleotides) under Notechis scutatus (mainland tiger snake). RNAcentral's name for it is "lncRNA (ENSNSUG00000002190.1)". Lineage: Eukaryota; Metazoa; Chordata; Lepidosauria; Squamata; Elapidae. The record is from RNAcentral.